This 647-nucleotide ribosomal RNA is filed under the name bacterium HN32-13. Its description in RNAcentral is "bacterial SSU rRNA". It matches the Rfam family "Bacterial small subunit ribosomal RNA", at positions 338 to 974 of the family's 1533-position model. The record is from RNAcentral.
CCUACGGGAGGCAGCAGUAGGGAAUCUUCCGCAAUGGACGAAAGUCUGACGGAGCAACGCCGCGUGAGUGAUGAAGGUUUUCGGAUCGUAAAGCAUCUGAUUGUUAGGGAAGAACAAGUGCAAGAGUAACUGCUUGCACCUUGACGGUACCUAACCAGAAAGCCACGGCUAACUACGUGCCAGCAGCCGCGGUAAUACGUAGGUGGCAAGCGUUGUCCGGAAUUAUUGGGCGUAAAGGGCUCGCAGGCGGUUUCUUAAGUCUGAUGUGAAAGCCCCCGGCUCAACCGGGGAGGGUCAUUGGAAACUGGGAAACUUGAGUGCAGAAGAGGAGAGUGGAAUUCCACGUGUAGCGGUGAAAUGCGUAGAGAUGUGGAGGAACACCAGUGGCGAAGGCGACUCUCUGGUCUGUAACUGACGCUGAGGAGCGAAAGCGUGGGGAGCGAACAGGAUUAGAUACCCUGGUAGUCCACGCCGUAAACGAUGAGUGCUAAGUGUUAGGGGGUUUCCGCCCCUUAGUGCUGCAGCUAACGCAUUAAGCACUCCGCCUGGGGAGUACGGUCGCAAGACUGAAACUCAAAGGAAUUGACGGGGGCCCGCACAAGCGGUGGAGCAUGUGGUUUAAUUCGAAGCAACGCGAAGAACCUUAC